CUCAGGCUUUGUCAAUAAAGCUUCUCAACAGUCAACACUGAGGUCUCAGUCAGUGUUGCUUUGUGAGCAGUCUUAUGCUUUUUAUUUCUUUAAAAGCAGCUGCUCACUUCUAGUUAGAAACAGGCUGCUGCAGGGAGCACGAAACAUACCAAUUGACAGAUAUUUCAGACAAAAUGUUCAUGACAUCCUUCUUGUCUCUGUUUUCACAUACUGCUUUACUGUGAAGGCAAAACAGGGCAGAGAAUGCCUUGUGACUGUAUUGCAGCUGUCUGUUUUCAGAUAAGACACAAAAAUGCUAAGGAAAAUGUUAGGAAUGUUUGGGAUGGAGCCUGCAUGAGUAGAAAAUAAAGAAAUACAUGAAGGUAUUCACUACUUUCCGAAAGCAAGUGGUGUGGUUUAAAACCAGUCAUUAUAAAGCCACAUUGUCCAUAUACCUGACAUUACUGCUGAUUAGCUACACUUGUUAAAUGCUGGAUAAUAUUAGCAAGCCUAGGAAAAGAUAUUCAAAGUUUUGCGUUUUUUGUUUGUUUGUUUGUUUUUGUCUCCAUUACAGUUAGAACUGAAAAAGGCUGCAAAAGGAAUUACAGAGAUUGGAGCUGAAAAAAAAAUGUGAAAAACAAUUCAGUGCUCACACUGGCAUUCAUGUUUAAUUGCAGGAGCGAUGGCUUCCAGUACCAAGGCUCUAAACAUGGGAUCCUGAGAUAUGGCCUAAUCUUUUACCACAGUUUGCAUGAAUUCCCUAGCAAUGCACUGUGUUACAAGUCAGUAUGGGCACUUCCUGAGAUAACAAGAAAGCAAGCAUUGGUUUUGAGGCCCUACACACCGUGCUGAGAAAUGAACAUAUCUGACUUCAUAGGAUGGCUGAAAGAAUGACCCAGAAGAACCUGUGCUUGGAGCUGUCACUGGAGAGCAAAGAGCAGGAGGAGUUUGGCAGAGAUCAAACAAAAUGCAAGAUAAACAAGCUCUGUUACCCAAGAGUCACAAAGCUUCUUAACAUUCCACUUGAGAUAAUUACCUACCAGGAAAAGCUGAUCUAAUCUGAUACUUUUCCCUACUCUUCCUUGUAUAUGUGGAGUACAUGACACUCUGGAUUCUGGGAACACUCUGGAUUCUGGGAAUGGCAAACAAACUCCAAGGAUGUUGAAGUUUUUCUGCUUGGGGCUGAAGCUGGUUAAAGAUAAGCUAUUUCCUGAGAAACAGAAGUACUUUCUCAGUGUUUCUUCAGUAAGAAAACCCUUGAACCGGCUUACCCCUCAAAAUUUUCUUUGACAGUGCUUAUUCCCAUUUGGAACCUCACAUCGUUUCCCUUCUUUUGUUAUUUUAUGCUCCAAAUCUGAGGUUAGGCAAUGUAACUAUUAGUUUUAAAAUCAGAAGGACCAUACACUCCGGUUUCCUGUGGAGAUCAAAAACAAUUAACUUAGUCUCUCUCAAAGAUAUCUGGUGGCAUAAUCAACAUUGAGCAGUUCCCACUGGUUUUUGCAGUGACAGUCAGACACUUUCUGAAACAAACAAACGUUAUAGACCUUUAGUCUAACUUAUUACUUUAAAGUCUGAAAUUAAUUGUAGAUAAAGGAGUAAUAUAAUUGUUUUCAGUAUCUUCCAGAUUAUUCAUUUCAUUUUGAAGUUUAUUUAUUUUGGAGCUAAAC
RNAcentral lists this long non-coding RNA (1646 nucleotides) under Coturnix japonica (Japanese quail). RNAcentral's name for it is "lncRNA (ENSCJPG00005012738.1)". Lineage: Eukaryota; Metazoa; Chordata; Aves; Galliformes; Phasianidae. The record is from RNAcentral.